This 72-nucleotide transfer RNA is filed under the name Ovis aries (sheep). It matches the Rfam family "tRNA". Rfam says of the family: Transfer RNA (tRNA) molecules are approximately 80 nucleotides in length. Their secondary structure includes four short double-helical elements and three loops (D, anti-codon, and T loops). Lineage: Eukaryota; Metazoa; Chordata; Mammalia; Artiodactyla; Bovidae. The record is from Rfam by way of RNAcentral.
UCCCUGGUGGUCUAGUGGUUAGGAUUUGGUGCUUUCACAGCUAUGGCCAGGGUUCAAUCCCUAGUCAGGGAG